CUGGCUCAGGAUGAACGCUGGCGGCGUGCUUAAUACAUGCAAGUCGAACGAAGACAUCUCGCCGAAGCUUGCUUCAGUUGAGAUAUCUUAGUGGCGGACGGGUGAGUAACGCGUGGGUAACCUGCCUUACACAGGGGGAUAACAGUUAGAAAUGACUGCUAAUACCGCAUAAGCGCACAUUAUCGCAUGAUAGAGUGUGAAAAGAUUUAUCGGUGUAAGAUGGACCCGCGUCUGAUUAGCUAGUUGGUGAGGUAACGGCCCACCCAAGGCGACGAUCAGUAGCCGGCCUGAGAGGGUGAACGGCCACAUUGGGACUGAGACACGGCCCAAACUCCUACGGGAGGCAGCAGUAGGGAAUAUUGGACAAUGGGGGAAACCCUGAUUCCCAGCGACACCGCGUGAGUGAAGAAGUAUUUCGGUACGUAAAGCUCUAUCAGCAGGGAAGAAAAUGACGGUACCUGACUAAGAAGCACCGGCUAAAUACGUGCCAGCCGCCGC
Molecule: ribosomal RNA, 498 nt
Filed under: uncultured bacterium
Lineage: Bacteria
Description: bacterial SSU rRNA
Rfam family: Bacterial small subunit ribosomal RNA
Source: RNAcentral